Molecule: long non-coding RNA, 2366 nt
Filed under: Malus domestica (apple)
Lineage: Eukaryota; Viridiplantae; Streptophyta; Magnoliopsida; Rosales; Rosaceae
Description: long non-coding RNA (MDOM_LNC000803)
Source: RNAcentral
GUUUCUCUUUUUCCUCAUUUCUCUCCCUGAUUCCUCCCUUCCCCGCCUGAUUGGUCCCAGACUCCCCCUUAUCUCUCCUUUCCUUUCCAUCAGUGCCACACACGUGGCACUCCCCUUUUGUUUCAAGAUUUUCUAGAUUCUUCCCACUUAAUGACAAUAUAAUUAUUUUACCCUCAACUUCUAUCGUUCAUAACUUUCUCAUUAUAACUCCGUUUCACGAACGGUUUGCGCCUACACGUUCAUGAGAUCGAGCUUUAUUCAAAAAAUAUAAAUUGUGACCUCCAAAGGUCUAUGAAUUGUAAAUAAUUAAUUUCCAAACUUUAAACCUCGUAAUUAGUUUCAUUUACAAACUGAUCUCAAAUAAACUAAUAUAAUUUCUUGAAAAAUAACAUAAAAUCUCAAUAAUACAAUUACGUGAAUUAUAAUAGUUUCUCAAUUCUAUCUUCAUAACUGUAAAUCGAUUUAUUUUCGAUUUUCUCCACAUAUUCAUAAUUAUGAAUAUAUUUCAUACAUUUAAGUUUUCAGGGUAUUACAGUGUAGAUGAUGAAUGGUAGUAUGUAGUUGGUGAUUGACCAAGAACACCUAGAUUUGGUGUAGGUAGCAUAUGAGUUUGUGUCUAAAAUGUUGUCUUGGAUUAAAUGAUCUCUGACCUUGAUUGAACUUUCCUUUGCCCUUGUUUCUAUUGAAAGACUUAUAACCUCCAUUAAUAUAAAAGGAUUGUCCAUGAGAACCAUUAGACUGCUGAAAUAUUGGUGCUUGAGACAUAUUAGGUCCAAAGUUAGUAGCCAUAGUAGUGAGAUAAGAUGGUGUAGCAGUGAUAUUAUCCACAAUACUUUCUUCAACCAGUAAUUGAGAUCGAAAUUCUUUAAAGGGGCGUUUGUUUGCCCUCAAUAAGUGUCACUGGACUAGACUGGACUAACUAUUAGUCCAAUCAUGUGUUUGAUAUCAUGUGGGACUAGUGUUAAUGAGACUAGCUCAGACUCGCCUAGACUAAAGGCAUCACUAAAGGUUCUUAGCAAGAGUCCCCGAAAACCAUAGGACUAGCUAAGAACUGCCUUUCUCCGCUCUCUGUUUCACUUUCUCCUACUCUCUCCCUCUCUCCUUGCCCAAAACCCAGAAUUAUGAUAGCUCAUAUAUGUUUUUCCCAUGCACUUCUCGAGUUUAUUGCCGAGCUCGUUGUCGAAAGGUAGUACUUCUCCUCUGCUCAGAUCCUCGACUUCCUCAACUCCCAAUAUCGCUCUUGACCAUCACUUUCAUCCACCGGGACAUCGUAAGCAAACUCCACAAUGCCAGCGAAAACCCAAAAGACAAAAAAUACUAAAAUGCCAAAACCCAAAUGAAAUUCAGAAGCUUGUGAAAAAUCCAGAAAAAAAACCCCUAUAUGACAAAUCAUAAGUUUUUUUUUAGAAUGAAUGAAAAAGAAUGGAAUUUGGUGAUGAGGGAGAAAGUAAAAAGAGAGAGACAGAGAGGCAGUUGGAAGGGAAAGAGAAAAAAAUGGAGAGCAUUCUAGAGAGAGAGAGGGUGUUCUAGAAAGGUAAAAGAAAAAAUAUGUAAAAGAUAUAAUUAAAUAUUAUUAUUUUUAUUAUUUUAGUUCUUAAUCCAAUACUACAUCAAACGCUUCACUAAGUUAGUCUAAGCCAGUCCAGCUUAGUCCCUAAAGUUAGUCCAGUCUGAGUUAGUUCGAUGCAACAAACGCACCCUAUGGGUAGUAACACUCUCUCUACCCUUAACCACACAUCUAAAUGUAUUAUAUUCAGGAGUGAGUUCAUUCAAAGCUAGAAUUACAAUAUCUUCAUCAACAAAGUACACACCUGCAGCUGCCAAGUAAUCCCUAGGGGCAAAGUGGAUCAAAAUUGAGCUUUAGGAGAAAAAUGAAGCGAACUUUAAGUUUUAUGGAGUAAAGUUGUGACUUUUGAGUUAUAUGGAGCAAAGUGAGAUUAAUAUCAAGUUUCAAUGAGCGUUGCUAAAAAUAAUUUUUUUAGUAAAGUACUUUGAUUCAUGUCAAUACUUUCAUCUAUUGACUUAAAAAUCAAUACAGGGUUUGCGAGCUUAAAUGUAUUUUUGCUUUAAUCAAUUUAGAGCAUUUAUCAUUGCACUUGAGAUUUCAAGUUCGAUUUCCCUUUGCCGUUUAUAUUGCUUGUAUAAAAAAUGUUUAAGCCUCCAUGAGUGCUUAUAUUCAUCAUAGUAGUGGAGCUAUGUUCUUUAUUGCAUAGAUAUUGUCGUUAAUUGAGGUAUAAAUAAUAUGUCAGUGCAUCUUAAUGUGGUUUAUAAUGUGUUCUACACUUCAUCAAUACGAUAUAGAUAAUAUUCUACUUUUAUAAUGUAAUACGAUGCCCACAGCGUAAAGGUUAACUUUAUAGUAAUAC